Molecule: ribosomal RNA, 486 nt
Filed under: uncultured bacterium
Lineage: Bacteria
Description: bacterial SSU rRNA
Rfam family: Bacterial small subunit ribosomal RNA
Source: RNAcentral
CGCGUUUUAAGCAUGCAAGUCGAGCGGCAAGGGCCUUCGGGCCCCUAGAGCGGCGGACGGGUGAGUAACACGUGGACAAUCUGCCCCCCGGCCCGGGAUAGCCCAGGGAAACCUGGAUUAAUACCGGAUGAGACGGGACCCGCGAUGGCGGGAUCCGGGAAAGGCGCUGCGGCGCCGCCGGGGGAUGAGUCUGCGUCCCAUUAGCUAGACGGCGGGGUAACGGCCCACCGUGGCGACGAUGGGUAGCCGGCCUGAGAGGGUGGACGGCCACAUUGGAACUGAGACACGGUCCAGACUCCUACGGGAGGCAGCAGCUAAGAAUCUUCCGCAAUGGGCGAAAGCCUGACGGAGCCGACGCCGCGUGAACGAAGAAGGCCGUGAGGUUGUAAAGUUCUUUUCGGGAGGGGGAACAACCGUGGCAGGGAAUGGCCGCGGGAUGACGUGAAUCCCGGAAUAAGCCCCGGCUAACUACGUGCCAGCCGCAGC